Molecule: RNA transcript, 3578 nt
Organism: Neofelis nebulosa (Clouded leopard)
Lineage: Eukaryota; Metazoa; Chordata; Mammalia; Carnivora; Felidae
Gene: XTBD1
Gene name: CDKN2A interacting protein N-terminal like
Exons: 4
Source: RefSeq, a predicted model, not a curated record
CGCGGUGCGAGUCGGGAAGGCGGCGGGCGGGUGCGGCCCUCGGCGGCGGAGGGCGCCAUGGUCGGUGGCGAGGCGGCUGCCGCGGUGGCGGAGCUGGUUUCGGGGGUGCGGCAGGCGGCUGACUUCGCGGAGCAGUUCCGCUCCUACUCGGAGAGCGAGAAGCAAUGGAAGGCUCGCAUGGAAUUCAUCCUGCGCCACUUGCCCGACUACCGCGACCCGCCAGAUGGUGGUGGCCGCUUGGACCAGCUGCUGUCCCUCUCCAUGGUGUGGGCCAACCACCUCUUCCUGGGUUGCAGUUACAACAAAGACCUUUUAGACAAAGUGAUGGAAAUGGCUGAUGGGAUUGAAGUGGAAGACCUGCCACAGUUUACUACCAGAAGUGAAUUAAUGAAAAAGCAUCAAAGCUAAUGCAGAAGAUUCAUCACAUUUUCAACAUCAGCUUAGGAAGGAGGCUGGGAUGAAUGUGACAUUGACCACGGCAGCUCUCUUAAGAUUCCUGCCUUCAAGACACCACAGAAUCUGUCCUGCAUUCCAGGAAGAAUGACAACUAAAUGGUACAGGUUGAUGGAGCCUGAGGAGAUCCUUUCAGAGAUAGGCUCUGGUUCCCUCUAGACAAGUACUCAACCCCGUGGCACUUUAAGGAUCCCAGUCUUUCAGGUAAGAGUUUAGAUAGCUAACCUCCCCCCAAAAGCCUGCAGAAGGCAUCAUACUUGUAACCAACACCAUCACCAUAUAAAGACCUAACUAACUAAAAGGUUAUUUGCUUUUUCUCAGCACAGUACACACUCUGGAGUCUUUUCAAAAGUGUCACUGACAUGUCACCGAUAAACAAAAGCAUUAUGUGGCCAAUCUUUAGCACUCAAAUCACUGGCAGUUCCUGAAAGUCAUUCCAUUCGGGCUUUUUACCCAAGUCUGAAUUCUCCAUAUGCCAAAGAGGAAGCUUGAAGCCCUUCCUUCCAGGAUUCUUGAUUUCAACCAGCAAGGAGCACUAAUGUUGAGCUUGACAUGAGUCAUAUACUCAAAAAGGUUUGCAAAAGGCACAGCUCAUUUGUCUUUUUGGCCAACUAAAAAAAGCCCUAGCCCAUGCUAUGACAGGAAAUGUACAAACCUCAAGACACUAUUAACAAAACUGUUUUAAACCAAUGCAGUUGAGGGAUAGGGGAGGUGGAGAAAUGACUCAAAGAGGAAUGGCACACGCACUUGUAUCUUCUUUUUCAGAGGACAGAGAAAAAAGUAAAUUCAACAGUAAAACUUUGUUUCUAAUCUCUUUCCUCUAAUAUGUCAUAUACUUGAAUAAUUAAAGGUAACUAAUCUUUACUCUUAGCUGACAACAGCUCAGUUUUUUCCUAACUAGAUGGGAACUGAAGUAACAGGGCUACUGUCUUGGCACAAGGCCCUUGCCCUAUGGACAAUUUCAUUUACCUUUAAUAGCUGUGCAACCACUGACUUUUUAAUUUACAUAAUAAUCCUCACAUAACUGAGAUUCCUUUGGGACUUUGCAUUGCUAAAUGCAAUAGAAAGGAAUUGUAAUAAAUACCACCAAGACCUAAAAAGUUGAUUGCUAUCUUUUAAAAUCUGGAAUUGAGAGAUCAAAAUACCUUAAACAAAACUCUAAACUGCUAUAUAAACCCCAGGGGGUUCUUUCUUAAGCGUACUAAAUGAAUAAAUUAAGUAGACUUUGUUUACUCAGCACAAAAUACUGUUAACUAAGGCACCUUUAAUAGAUUUCUUCUCCAGUACCUUCUACCUACAGGAGUCAGAAUUUUUACAUCAGUUUCAGAAGUUAUUCAUGGAACUUUUUUAUUGGGUGGUUGGGGUUGGGGAGGGGAGAGUACUGACUCAAGAAUAGUUCCAUGAAGGGGUUAAAAUGUGCUCUAUUGUUAAGUCAUAGUCUUUUAUAUCAGAGAGCAGAAAGUGUUCCUAUAUCCAGACUUUACUUGUUUACCAAAAAAGAAAAAAAAAAGGGGGAGGUAGAAAAUAAUGGUCAAGAAAACCUCUUCACUGGAUAGAUAUAAAUCUGUACAUAAUUCUAAAUCAACUAAAGUAUUAUAGAUUUUCUAAAACUGUGAACUUAAUUCCUUAAUAUUUCCUAAGGGGCAGUACAGUUCUUGGGUAAAAGACCAGAUUGGCCAGGUACAAAUCCCAGCUCUAUCACUUGCUAGUUGGUUGACCUAGACCAAGUCACUUUAUCUCUGUGUACCUAAUUCUUCAUCUGUAACAUAAUGGUUAGCUACCCUCACAGGAUUACUGUGAGUUUGAAAGUGAUCAUAUGUUCAAGUGUUUUGAAUAAUGCCAUGCAUGUAGAGCAUUCCAUUGUUACAGGGUGCUGGCACCUGGGUGACUCAGUCGGUUGAGCAUCUGACUUCAGCUCGGGUCAUGAUCUCACAUUUUGGGAGUUCAAGCCCCACAUCGGGUUCACCACUGUCAGCACAGAGCCCGCUUCCGAUCCUCUGUCCCCCUCUAUCUGCCCCUCUCCCGCUGUGCUCUCCCCCAAAAUAAAUAAAUAUGGGGGAAAAAAAAGUACUUUUACAGAGGAAAAUGCAUCAUAAAUGGAUUUAAACUUCAGCAUGAAUCCAACUUCAUACCAAAAUAAGUAACUUAGUUCUAGCCUCUUGCCAUACAUUUAUAAAAUUUACCUAGUUUACACAUUUUUUUGUAUGAUCUAACCUUAUAAAUAGAGGGUUUUCAUCUAGUACUCAACCAAAGAAAUAGGACUCUGUUCCAAGGCUGAAGAAAAUACCUGAGGGGUAAUUGGGAGAGGAAUAUUCCUAAGAAUUUUCUCUACUGGGAAUGUUGAGUUUCAUGGUAGGAGUUUUAGGUUGUGAAUUUAGGACUUGGAGCUCACAGACUCCCUGCAAAGUGAGAUGUAACCCUCUUAUAAUUAUCAAUACCUGAAAUGUUUCAAUUUUAGAUGGGAAGAGGAAAACAGAUUAAGGUAAAAAUAAAUUUUGAAGCAGUAACCAAAUAGCAUUUAAUGAAAUAAGAGGGGAGACUCUCAUACCUACUGUGUAUUUAAAAAUAAGAGUCAGUCAGUCACUGGAGUAAUGUCUACGGGAACUAUAAUUUGUCUGAGAGCUGAAUAUGAAAGCAUCACACAUUUGAUGUGACCAAAAAGUACCUUUAAACUUUUUUUUUUUUUUGGCCAUUAAUUCCAGUGAGUGGACUCUCAUUUGUAUGAAAAGCUUCCUAAGAUCAUACUUACUCCAAAAUUUGCCAAGUAAUAACUUUUAAAGGGAAACAUCCUUCCAGUGUUAAACUUUGCUUAAUAGAAGCUGUACAUGUUGCUAUCCUACAGUCUUCCAACAGAGAAGCAGCUACUAGCUUACUAAGCUGUUAAGAAUAGGACAAGAAACUACUGGGGUUACUCAAUAGCUGUUUUAACUGAACUAGAAAGACUACACAGGUGGUUCAACAGAAUUUACUUGUAUAUUUUCCAUUUUCUGUGCUAUUUGAAGGCAUAGGAUAGCUUUGUAUUAGCUUUCUACAAUACUGUGUUUUAAAUUUAUCCAGUAAACUAAGAUGCAGUACAACUUUUAUACAACUUAGGAGAUAAAAAAAAAAAAAAAAAAUCUCCACAA